GGACGUGAGAGUUAUCUGGCUGCCGCUCCACUGAGUGCCAGGGUUGAUUCAGCUGAUCUGGCUGGCUAGGCGGGUGUCCCCUUCCUCCCGCACUGCUUCAUGUGCAUCUCUCCCGAAGCCAUGUGCAUCUCUCCCGAAGCCGUGUGCUUGGUUGAAGAGGACGAACUUGUCCCCAGUCCAGGGUAUAUGAGUAGCUGCAUUCCCCUGCUGGAACCUCCAAAUAAGCUCUCAAGGGCAGGAGGAGAUCUUAUUUACAUUAUUGUCUCUUCUCAUUGUAUUUGUUCCAUU
Gorilla gorilla gorilla (western lowland gorilla) is the source of this 288-nucleotide non-coding RNA. It matches the Rfam family "7SK RNA". From Rfam's summary of the family: 7SK was discovered as an abundant small nuclear RNA in the mid-70s but a possible function has only recently been suggested. NCBI's taxonomy places the organism in Eukaryota, Metazoa, Chordata, Mammalia, Primates, Hominidae. The record is from Rfam.